GCUAAGAUGGUUUAUCAGCUACUGGAUCUGCCACUUCUUCAGUCACCUUUUCAAGGACCAGUUACUGAUCCCCUGUCACAUCAGUGAUCUUGAGGGAAAGGAGAUGACAUUUGUCUGAAAGGCUGGCUUUAUUUUGGAAAUGGCAGCUGUUUGGAACUGUUGACAGAUUGGGAGUGUUAGAAAUUGUCCCAGGCCAGACGGAUUACUAUCUGGGUCCAGGUGAAUAGGUCAAAAGUACUUUAUAAAUGAUGGCAUCUAUUCCCACGUAGCUAUCACCACUAUGGAGUAGUAUAGGUAACAGCUAUUUUUAUAACAUGUAAUUGAGUUAUUUUGGAGCAGUCCCACACAGGUCAGGCGAAUGUAUUUUUUUAUCAUCUUCCUCUCCUUUUGCUGCAGAAAUUGCAGUAACUUGAGACAUUUCUAGUACUAUUCCUAAUUUAAUUAGGAUGGGCUGAAGGCAAGAUAUGUAGGGAGGGGUGGUAGAGAAAUUGCUCUUUCAGUCAGGAAAUCACAUUCAGUCUUUUUCUUUCUGCUAUUUCCUGUGACCUGGAUACAUUGAUGUGUUUUAUAGUCAUGCUGUAAGAAAUUUUUUCAAGGAACAGGAACGAAUCAACCAAAUUAGAACUAGAAAACUAGGAUUUUCACCUAUUCAUGAGAGCUUGAAACUUUCACUUCUUGCACUCUAUUCUGCUGCAUUUUAUUUAUAUUAUCAUGCAUUUUUCCAAAGAACAAGUAAAUUUCAAUUUAAUUUUAAAUGGAUGUAAAAGAAAAUGGAGAAAGCCUUCUCACUUUAAUUUAGUCAAUUGAAUAUAUUAUAGAAAUAAAAAUAUUUGAGGUUAUGAAUUUUUUAAGGUGUUUGGAUUGAACAAAUACCCACAAACAGUGUGAAAACCGCAAAGUCUUGUUUUGUCCUACAGUGUCCCUCAACUCCUUGAUGGCCUUAAAUACGUCUCAGAAGCACAAGUUAAAGCCUCAUCUCCCUCACUAGUCUCCACUUGUGCAAAAAUCCUUGGAAAUGCUCGACAGAAAACUCUAUCAAGCCUUGCCUGUUUCCACACAGAUAGCAGAGCUUCUUUUGUGAAUAGUUCCCUGGAAUUCAGUUCCAAACCAUGUGUCAGCAGAAAAGCUCUAGUUUUCAAGUUUUCAGGAAUAUGUCCUCCCCUCCUCUUACUACACAGGUGACAAAAUUGUUUUAAACCUCAUCCAUAAUUGUUCUGAAUCAGAGCAUGUCAAAUGAGCUGUGAUGUAACAACUGCUAUAGCAACUAUUCAUUUUGAUUCAAAACCUGAAAUAAACUGCUGACACAUCAUAUCUUACA
Molecule: long non-coding RNA, 1318 nt
Filed under: Cyanistes caeruleus (blue tit)
Lineage: Eukaryota; Metazoa; Chordata; Aves; Passeriformes; Paridae
Description: lncRNA (ENSCCEG00000011618.1)
Source: RNAcentral